This is a long non-coding RNA of Pezoporus flaviventris, 1521 nucleotides long. RefSeq lists it as uncharacterized. The transcript has 3 exons. The record is from RefSeq and is a predicted model, not a curated record. NCBI's taxonomy places the organism in Eukaryota, Metazoa, Chordata, Aves, Psittaciformes, Psittacidae.
CGUUCUGCUUUUCAGUCCUCCGUCCGUCGGCGCUCGCAGCGCUCAUCGAGGGCAGGCGGCAACGGGAGAGCUGCGGGCAGAAACCCGGCCUCCGGUGGCUGAGGGGAAGCGCUGUGGCUUGGCGUUCAUGUGCAGUUAGCGCCUGCCUGCACGUCCCGCGCUGUGUGCUGCAGGCCGCGCGCUUGUACGAUAACUUAGUGCGUACAUUAUAAAAGGUAAUGUUAAGGGGCCAUGAUGAGAGGAGGUGUCCUCGGGUUUGUCAGUAAGCAUGAUGGUAAAGGCUUCAGUUACGUAGUUGUGGGCUGUUUCUCCUAUAGGAAUUUGCUUCACUCGGUGUGAAAGACGGAGAGAGCCUGCUGAGGGGGGAACCAGUCAAUAUUGCUUUUAAUCAUCCUCUACUGUGUUGCCGUGGGCUUUAUUCACCACAUGCCACUUACACACCACGUUGAAUGGAGUUACUAACUUCCACACAGGUGUCGCUAUGCUGUUCAUCAGUAUCCUACCGGAAUGCUUCACAAACAGCAAUUAACUUCUUGGUACUCAAUUGAGCUGUGAUGGUGUGAUUAUCCCUAUUUCAGAGGAAAGGAACUGGAGCAGGAAUAUUACAUUUAAAAUGUUCCACUCGCUGUACGUAGUUCAAGAUUUCAGGAGUCACACCUUUUAGGGUCUCUAACAGCGGAGGAGAGAGGGAAUGCAGGGUGGAUGGGCAUCACUACAUAUAGGACAAUGCCCUGUAAUUUCUUAAAUUUUCAGUGAUUUCAGCCUCAAGUAACUGCUUUCCAGUAGCAUAUUAUUUGUGACUAAUUUAUCUUCCUCUCAAGUAUAAUUGUGUAUGUCCCAGAAUAUUUUUCUUUGAUAAGGCUUUUAUGUUCAGUUCUUGAUUUUAAUGUGCAGGUUGCUAUCUGUGUUGGAAAAGGCAAGAUCAAAGAUGUAUGUUUUGAAGUACAAGCAGGUUGUGGCAAAAGACAAGAAGGGCUGUGUGUGUCACUUGCAUCCUGCUUGUCUUUGAGUCUGUGGCAUCUGACCAUUUACCACUAGUACAAAGAAGACUGACAUGGAUGCUAGAAGAUGGAGAUGCAUAGACAGUAGGGAAGGAAGAAACUCCAUGAAGGCAAACACAUUCAUGGUUGAGGCAGCUCUAUCGAGGUGAUGAUUCAUCAGUUCCUUGGCUGCUCUCCUUGUGGACAGAACAAUUUUGCACACUAGUGAGUGUAGAAUUUUAUUUUAUUAUUUAAAUAUUUGAGAUAAAGUAUCUUUCCUGGCAUCAGUAAACUGCAGUGGAUCUUUUUUGAGGCCCAAAAAAGUGAGCAGGUUUCUGGUAGCGUCUUGGUUAUGGUACAGAUACCGAAGGCAGAAUUUAUCAGACUGAACACUGGUGACUGUUGCAUAGGUGUCUACAUCAGGGUUGGUCAUCCCAUGCUCAUUUCAUAGUCUUUGGAGGGCUUGUUAAUAUGUCCAUGGAUGCAAUUCAGACCUUCAAAACCAGAAAGGUGAAUUGCAGCUAAAUCCAGACCACCUACA